GUGGGUUUAUGGGUAGCUAGUGGGAUGGAUGCUGUCCAGCUUCCUUUUCAGGAGGGUGGGGACACGCUGGACCUCCCACCCAGUCCCCCACGAUGGCGAUGUCCUGGCUCGCAGCUGGUCCAGGGGCAAGACUCCUGAGGCCUGCUGGCUGUGGGUGCACAGACCCGGAGAUCUGACUAAAGGUGCAUUGGUGGAGCAGUUCAUGUGGGGAAUGCUGGUCUCUGAAACCUCAGCAGCCCUGAGGGUUUGCAUACAUGGAAGGCUGGCUUCUGUGGUGCUCCUGGUUGGGAACCUGCCACAGCCCAGCAAAGGGACAGCAGAGCUCCUUGCCUUUAAUGGAAGUGUCCUGUCCCCUGGCUCGUGUCUCCAUGGCCACCGCCCAUCUUCUGAGGGAAUCUCCAGCCCUUCUCCUCCUCAGUCCUCACAGAGUUUCUGAGCACCCACUGACGAUGCCCAACCUCAUGACGGGGAUCCUGAAAUAAGAACCAGUGAAAGGGGGACUGUGGAGAUGGCUGACAGCUCUUCCAGAGGCUCUGAGAUCAAUUCCCAGCAAGCACAUGGUGGCUCACAAGCAUCUGCAAUGGGAUCCGAUGAUGCCCUCUUCUGGGGUGUCUAAAGAGAGUGACAGUGCGCUCACAUACAUAAAAUAAAUAAAUCUUAAAGAACCGGUGAAGGAUCCUGCAGCCUGGUGAGGGACGUGGGACAAACAGUGACAAGGACAGAAGCUGCCUUGAGAUGAUCCAGGUGCAGGAGAGAUGGGAGAAGGAGGCUAUGGCCCUUGGCAGAGAUGGGACUAUCACGGGAGACUCCAUCAUCCAGGUACAGAAGGGAAUCAGAGCUGGCCAGUGCUCCCCACCCUCUCAGUACAGUCCUCUGCCACCUCCAUGCACAAUGGUCACCUGCUGUGAUACACAGAAACCCAAACAUCCGAUGCCCAGGCUCCUGUUCUACCCAGGAGCCUCCUGAGCCUGCCUUGUCACCAGCGGGAGUCACUGUCCAGCAAUGCCACCAUCCUGGCCCUCAUGUGAUUUCCACUCCUUGACGGGAGACAAAAUAUUCUAACCCAGCAGAGGCUAGCAAACUGCUAGAUGGCCCGAGAACCUUGGGUUUUCUCCCAGAAUCUUCUUCCCCCAAGUGGUAGCUCACCUCUGUUCACACCUCUGUUCACACUACUGUUGGGAAUGCACCAAAGCCUCAGGGCUGCUGGCACCUCUCAAGCAUUCAGCACCUAAGAGGAGGGACGCCUGGGAACACAACCCACAGUUGACCGUGCUUGGUCCAGCUUGCCUAUGGAAUUAAUUCUGUUGUUCCCAGAAGCAGCUCUGCCUGAGGUCCCAAGGUCCCAAUCACAGGGGGUGUCACUUGUCCUAUGCUGAGUGCACAGGUCUGAGGGUAUGGUCACGGGAUCCCGCACCUCAGGGUGAGAGCCAAUCGGGCUUGUCUCUGUUCCCAGCAGGGGCAAUUCCCCAUGACAGAGGGGCGUGAGCCUGUGACCACAUCACCCACAGGUCACCUGCUCCGCCUCCUGUCUUCCACAAGCCAGCUUGGGACUCUGCACUGCACACAGUCCUCCAGGUACCCCACAAAAGGGCCUUCUUCCAGCCUGGACUCGGCAAGCAGGUGCCAGGACAAGAUCAGACCUGGGAAACAACAGCCUUCAUUCAAGCCUGGCUCUGUUAGGACUGUGCAUCUACCUGCCAAUAAAAACCCACAUACACAU
Long non-coding RNA from Apodemus sylvaticus (European woodmouse), 1720 nucleotides. RefSeq lists it as uncharacterized. NCBI's taxonomy places the organism in Eukaryota, Metazoa, Chordata, Mammalia, Rodentia, Muridae. The record is from RefSeq and is a predicted model, not a curated record. The transcript has 3 exons.